This is a long non-coding RNA of Parus major (Great Tit), 2371 nucleotides long. RefSeq lists it as uncharacterized. Lineage: Eukaryota; Metazoa; Chordata; Aves; Passeriformes; Paridae. The transcript has 3 exons. The record is from RefSeq and is a predicted model, not a curated record.
CUGCUGGCGGCGGCGCUGGGCUGCUGGCGGCGGCGGAGGAAGGACGAACGUCUCUAUGAAGUUGCUUUCCGCAGCACUGCAGAUGUCGCCCCGCUGCACACUGAGGUGGAAGUCCCUGUUAUAUGCCUACAUGAGGAAAUGAGCUCUAACACUGAAAAGAGUACCAUGAAAGACAGGAAAAGUCCUGAGUAUGAGAACCUUGUGACUGCAAUGGAAUCACAAUAUGAAACAGAAGAAAAUUAGUAAAAUAACAACUUUUCCACAUAAGCAGCCAUGCAGGGCUGCAGGUACUGAAUAGUGAACUUAACAGAAGGAAACUUUUCCUCCUGUUGUCACUCUGUUCUGCUAUCACUGCUUGCUUUAACCCAGAGGAGCUGCAUUACCUUUUGGUCUUUGGCAGACCAGGCCCUGCCUGUGGGAGCAGAAACCCCCAGCCAACUGUCUACCCACUUCUAUACAGCAAGUUGUUUCUGAGCAACCUGAAGGACCAAGGCAGGAAGAGAGGAUCUGAAGGAGUGAGAACAUGAAAUUCUUUAGCCUGUAAAUCCAGGAGCAAUUGGUAAAAUGCUGCCAGUCAGUAACACUAGCAAGGGGUACUCUCCAAUGUAUAUUCCUGUUAAGACAUUCCAGGCUGCAAGGAACCAGGAUUGUGCUGAAAAUGGAGAUCCUCUGGCUUUUGCAGCUCAGCAAAUAUUGGUUGUACAUCCUGGCUGUCCUUGAGUAUUUCUUUCUUUGUUACAGCAUGGUAAAGGGACAACAGAGGAGAGGUUGAUGUCCCAGGAGAGUAAUUUUUGCUAUCAGACAGGAGCUCAGUGCUCAGGGAGAGAGGGAAUGAGUCUCUGAACUCUCACCCACUGGUUUUCUCCUUGAAAACCAGAACUGAUGUUGAAGGAAAUGCUGGGAUUUAAUUUUUACAGUAUGGGGGCCAGAGGCAUGAUAAAAUAGAGAGAAAUUUGAGGCAUUUGGACAAUGACUGAGUAAGGCACCUGUCUGAAUACAACAGCCUGACACCAAAUUACUCUGUGGGAAGUAAGUCAGGCUGUGAUUACUAAUGCUGACCUGUCAUGUAACAUGGAUGCAGUUCCUGUCUUCAGCUGUAGUGCAUUCCCUACACUACGCUGUCACUCAGCAGCCUGAUCUGCCUCAUCAUUGUUAAUUGUUUGCAUCUUGCCUGUACUGCAGUGCUGCUGUCAUCUUGUCCUUACUGUGCCUCCAGCCAGCAUCCCUUUGUCCUCCAGGCUUGGCAGGGAGGAGGAAUGCCUCCUGGCUUUAGCAAACCAAAUUUGUGAGAGUUACUGGCUCUUUUUUAUAUCUGUGGGUGCAGCAAGGAAAGCAUGGGGAAGCAGCUGAGCUCAAGUCACACACCCCCUCCUGCUUGGCCCUGACUCACAAGGCUCAUCUCUGCUGCCAUGGAUCACCCCUUCUGAAGUUAGCAGCCUAACAGCAGGGUCACAUUGCUGUUUGUGGCCUGAGUGCUGUGUAGAGCUACACUUUAACCUUCACAUCUCUGCACUGCAAUGAUGCUUCUUCUGCAGGACACGAGGUGGGCAAGAUGAGAGGUAAAAAUCUGCCCAUAUUAUGAGGGCUUCACAAACACAGUGACAGCCAUGCACUGGGCUGUGCUGGGUGUCAGGCUGUACUCCAGGGAGGCAGACAGGAUCCAGUCUGUUCCUGUGGGACCCAUGGCUGCCAACCCUGAAAACCCCAUGCUGCAGAAGCUGCUGCAUCAGCAGUUCCAGGGGUAGUGCAGAACAAAGGAAUUGAGGGAAAUGAGGCGCUGCAACACACACACAGGGCAGUAGGAUAUGGUGCAAGAUCAGUGCUGGGUGGGAAGGGAACUGAAAAUUUCUCAGCUUCCCCAUCCUUACCUCAGCAGAUCUAGGCCCAAAACUCAUGACAUGGCACUCUCCUUUCCCCCCCCCCAAAUAUCAUCCUCAUUAAUUUUCUAUUAGCUUGGUGUUUUGUGCAAGUUUUCCAGCUGUUAAAGGCUCUGAGCUCCAGGUUCACUCAUUGACUAUACAACACCAUGGUUUUCCCAUCUUGUGAUUCCUCCCAGCACUAUCUGCUCUGGGCAGAGGUCUGGACACCUUUCUCAGAAGACAUGAAGCCUGGGAGAAGCUACAGAGGAAGAAGGAGUUAAGAAAGGGAGAGCAGAUGCCCCGGAUGGACCACCCCCGUGUACUCCAUGUUGUCACUGCCUCUAGUUAGGGCAGCAAAAGGACUUUGGGUACAAGUAGCAGAACAGUGGAAAAAUAAGAAGCCUAUCUCCAAUACUGACAUGUUUUUACCUGAGCAACAAGUGUGUGAUUAUUUCUUUAUUUCACUUUUGCUAUGUUUUCCAUGUGUCUAGUAAAACCUGUUUGCAACAGAA